Molecule: ribosomal RNA, 474 nt
Filed under: uncultured bacterium
Lineage: Bacteria
Description: bacterial SSU rRNA
Rfam family: Bacterial small subunit ribosomal RNA
Source: RNAcentral
UCGAGAAUCUUUCGCAAUGCCCGAAAGGGUGACGAAGCGACGCCGCGUGCGGGAGGAAGGCCUUCGGGUUGUAAACCGCUGUCGGGAGUUAAGAAAUGCAAGGAUGUUAAUAGCGUUCUUGCUUGACUAAGGCUCCGGAGGAAGCCACGGCUAACUCUGUGCCAGCAGCCGCGGUAAUACAGAGGCGGCAAGCGUUGUUCGGAAUUAUUGGGCGUAAAGAGCACGUAGGCGGCUGUGUAAGUCGGUUGUGAAAGCCUUCCGCUCAACGGAAGAACGGCAUCCGAUACUGCAUGGCUUGAGUGUGGGAGGGGAGAGUGGAACUUCUGGUGGAGCGGUGAAAUGCGUAGAUAUCAGAAGGAACACCGGCGGCGAAGGCGACUCUCUGGUCCAUAACUGACGCUGAGUGUGCGAAAGCUAGGGGAGCAAACGGGAUUAGAUACCCAUGUAGUCCCUGAGCGGGCUGGCAAGGCGCAU